Molecule: ribosomal RNA, 549 nt
Filed under: uncultured Glomeraceae
Lineage: Eukaryota; Fungi; Glomeromycota; Glomeromycetes; Glomerales; Glomeraceae
Description: SSU rRNA
Rfam family: Eukaryotic small subunit ribosomal RNA
Source: RNAcentral
UUGGAGGGCAAGUCUGGUGCCAGCAGCCGCGGUAAUUCCAGCUCCAAUAGCGUAUAUUAAAGUUGUUGCAGUUAAAAAGCUCGUAGUUGAAUUUCGGGGUCAGUAGGUUGGUCAUGCCACCGGUAUGUACUGGUCUCACUGAUUCCUCCUUCCUGAUGAACUGUAAUGCCAUUAAUUUGGUGUUGCAGGGAAUCUGGACUGUUACUUUGAAAAAAUUAGAGUGUUUAAAGCAGGCUAACGCCUGAAUACAUUAGCAUGGAAUAAUGAAAUAGGACGUUCGAUCCUAUUUUGUUGGUUUCUAGGAUUGACGUAAUGAUUAAUAGGGAUAGUUGGGGGCAUUAGUAUUCAAUUGUCAGAGGUGAAAUUCUUGGAUUUAUUGAAGACUAACUUCUGCGAAAGCAUUUGCCAAGGAUGUUUUCAUUAAUCAAGAACGAAAGUUAGGGGAUCGAAGACGAUCAGAUACCGUCGUAGUCUUAACCAUAAACUAUGCCGACUAGGGAUCGGAUGAUGUUAAUUUUUUAAUGACUCAUUCGGCGCCUUACGGGAAAC